GAUGAACGCUGGCGGCGUGCCUAAUACAUGCAAGUCGAGCGAACGGACGAGAAGCUUGCUUCUCUGAUGUUAGCGGCGGACGGGUGAGUAACACGUGGAUAACCUACCUAUAAGACUGGGAUAACUUCGGGAAACCGGAGCUAAUACCGGAUGAUAUUUUGAACCGCAUGGUUCAAAAGUGUAAGACGGUCUUGCUGUCACUUAUAGAUGGAUCCGCGCUGCAUUAGCUAGUUGGUAAGGUAACGGCUUACCAAGGCAACGAUGCAUAGCCGACCUGAGAGGGUGAUCGGCCACACUGGAACUGAGGCACGGUCCAGACUCCUACGGGAGGCAGCAGUAGGGAAUCUUCCGCAAGGGGCGAAAGCCUGACGGAGCAACGCCGCGUGAGUGAUGAAGGUCUUCGGAUCGUAAAACUCUGUUAUUAGGGAAGAACAUAUGUGUAAGUAACUGUGCACAUCUUGACGGUACCUAAACAGAAAGCCACGGCUAACUACGUG
This 497-nucleotide ribosomal RNA is filed under the name uncultured bacterium. Its description in RNAcentral is "partial 16S ribosomal RNA". It matches the Rfam family "Bacterial small subunit ribosomal RNA", at positions 28 to 507 of the family's 1533-position model. The record is from RNAcentral.